RNAcentral lists this transfer RNA (87 nucleotides) under Oscillospiraceae bacterium. Its description in RNAcentral is "tRNA-Leu". It matches the Rfam family "tRNA". From Rfam's summary of the family: Transfer RNA (tRNA) molecules are approximately 80 nucleotides in length. The record is from RNAcentral. Lineage: Bacteria; Bacillati; Bacillota; Clostridia; Eubacteriales; Oscillospiraceae.
GCCGGUGUGAUGGAAUUGGUAGACGUAGUGGAUUCAAAAUCCACCGCUCGCAAGAGCGUGCCGGUUCGAGUCCGGCCACCGGCACCA